RNAcentral lists this ribosomal RNA (253 nucleotides) under uncultured bacterium. RNAcentral describes it as "partial 16S ribosomal RNA". It matches the Rfam family "Bacterial small subunit ribosomal RNA", at positions 524 to 776 of the family's 1533-position model. The record is from RNAcentral.
UACGUAGGGGGCAAGCGUUGUCCGGAAUCAUUGGGCGUAAAGAGCGUGUAGGCGGUUCGGUAAGUCGGCUGUGAAAGUCCAGGGCUCAACCCUGGGAUGCCGGUCGAUACUGCCGGACUAGAGUUCGGAAGAGGCGAGUGGAAUUCCCGGUGUAGCGGUGAAAUGCGCAGAUAUCGGGAGGAACACCGAUGGCGAAGGCAGCUCGCUGGGACGUUACUGACGCUGAGACGCGAAAGCGUGGGGAGCAAACAGG